UUUAUUUCACGCACUAUUAUUAUUUUUAUAAAAAGCUUACAUUUUUUAUAUAUAAAAAAAGAUAAAAUUAUAAAACACAAAAUAAAAAAAAUCUUUGAGAUAAAAUGAAGACCAAAUAAAUGGGCAUGUUAUGAACCAAGUGACAAAAAAAAAGAUAAUAAUGAUUAAAAAAACAGAACAAUUAAAUAAAAUAUAAAAAAAAUUAAAAGCAAUUAAAAAUCCCUAA
RNAcentral lists this long non-coding RNA (226 nucleotides) under Lathyrus oleraceus (garden pea). RNAcentral describes it as "Pisum sativum (pea) long non-coding RNA (PSAT_LNC017142)". The record is from RNAcentral. Lineage: Eukaryota; Viridiplantae; Streptophyta; Magnoliopsida; Fabales; Fabaceae.